CCUCAGCUGACCUACCGCAUCAUCCCCUCCAGUUCCAUCCAUGUCGAUGCAAAUGGUGGGUGUUCAUCCUUUCUGAUGCCAGCCAUUCUUUUGGACAUGAGUACUGCAAGCCUCGGUCUGCUUCAAGAUCUUCAGAGGAUAGCUGUUCCCUGGAAGGCUCUCCCACAGGCUCGUGUCAUGAUCACACAUGCAGUUCAAUGACUCAGCCAGCAGGGAGAGGCCACCGGCUCCCGUAGGCAUCCUCCAGUUCUUUCUCCAGUUUUCCUGCUUGCUCAGUGUCCUCUAGCGGUAACUUGCCUCCUGAGUGAGCACCUCCGGCCUCGCAGAUGCACCGUGAGAUCCACAGAGAUCAGGCCACUUUGUUGGUGUUUUCUAAUGAACGCGAUAUUUGCAGGCCUACUAAGUGCCAGGUAGUAUGUCGUCCCCUGCCCCACCCCGCCCCGGGCUCUCAGGAACCCUCUGAGAAAGAGGCCCAUCACACCCUGCGUAGAUAAGCAAACUGACCUUUCAGGAGCCUAACUGCUGUGUGGUAAGAGUCAGAGGCAGGAUUUGAAACUCGAAUUCCUGAGCACUCAACCUGAUGUGUUUUGUCUUGUUUGUUGUUGUUGUUGUUUUAAACAGUGCUCUACCAUUUCACAAUUCCAAGCAGAUAAACAUUUUCUGGCUCCGAAUGAGUCCUAGAGGCAAUCGAUGAAGGAGACUUCAGAAGCCUGGGUCCGUCCUGCUUCACGGAAUUGCCUCUGACCUUCCUGACCAAAUGCCUCCUGAGAGGCCAUAGGGCAGAGUGAAAAAAGAAAGAACCAGCUUUUAACCCAGAAUCACAUGGCUUUCAACCCUCACUCCACCACUGCACAAUAAAUACUUUAUGUUCUGCUAUGCUCGAGGCCCUAGAAUUACAGUUUUGUACACGAGAGAGAAAAUAUUUGUGGUCAGAUUUUUUUAUUCUAGCUGCUCCUUGGUGUGUCAUCUCUGAAAUAGGGGUGGGUGUACCCCUAACCAUUUGUGGAAGGCCAGUGUUUAAAGUUCUUCAACAUAUUAGGGAAAUAAGGGUGUGUUGUAAUUGAGGGCACAUGAUGACAACAAUGACCCAGUGUAAAGCACGUUUUGCAAGUGAGGAUAAUCUGACUGGUCUAAUGUUUUGAGAACCCUCUUUUGGGCUGGCUGGCUGCAGAUAGGAUGUUUUACAUUAUCCCGUAUUUCAAGUAAACAAGUCCUGAAUUCUUUCUGUGACAUUAAAGGAAUGAGCUGCCUCUUGCCCUAUUUUGUCGAGACUGAAUGCUGUGUCCCCUCAAAAUUGGUAUGUUAAAAUCCCUCCCCCUUCCCCCGUGUUGUGGCAUUAGGAGGUGGGGUCUCGGGAGGUGAAUAGGUCAUGAAAGCAGAACCCUCAUGAAUGGGGUUAAAGCCCUUAUAAGAGAGGCCCUGGAGAGCUUCCUCACCCUCUCUGUCAUAUGAGUUACAGCAGAAAUAUGUCAUCUCUGAACUGGGAGGGGGACGUCACUGGACACAGAAUCUGCUGGUGCGUUGAUCUCAGAAUUCCCAGCUUCCAGAACUCUGAGAAGUAAAUUUCUGUUGUUUAGAAACCACCCAGUCUAUGCUAGGAACUUUCUCUUUCCUUUUCUUAAUAUAAUGAUUGAGAACAUUGGCUUAGGAAACUGAGAAUCAUAGAAUGUUAUAGCGUGAGAAGAAGUAAAAGAUUUUCUAAAAAAAUAUACAGAUUAGAACACAAGUGGGAUUAUGUGUCUUGUCCAAGGUCAUUCUUUAGUUCAUUCAUUCAGUGAAUAUUUAUUGUGUGUCCAUCAUGUGCUAGGUACUGUUCUACUUGUUGAGUUACAGCAGUGAGCAAAACAGAUGUGGUCAUUGCUUUCGUGGAUGUUUAUUCUAAUGGGAAGGGAACAUUUGGUAAAAAUUACACAAAUAUAUAGUAGGUCAGAUAAUGGUAAGUAUUCAGAAAACAUAAUUAAGCAAGGUAAGGAAUAAAGAAUAAUGAAGGAAAGUGCUCUUUUAGAUAGAAUGUUCAAUGGAGAUGACAUUCAAGCAGAGUCCUGAAUGAGGUGAGGGAAUGAACCAUAUGGAUACCAUAUGGAUACCUUCCAUAUGGAAGGAGAAUUGCAGACAGAUGGAAGCAAGUGCAAAGGCCCUGAGGUGAAUUCGCACUCAAAGGUCAAUGUAGCUGAAAUUGAUAGAGGGAGGGAAGAGUGACAGGGAAUGUGACCUGACAGUAGCAAGGGAAGAUUCACAUCACAUAGGGUCUGGUGGGCAUGGUAACAGUCUGGACGUUUAGGGUUUCAAGUAGAAGAGUGAUGUGAUUUAUUUAUGUUUCAAAAGGAGAUGACUCUCAAAUCAAGAUCAGCCAGAACCCAGGUCUCUUUAAGGUAGAUGCCACAGGCCCUCCCAUUAUACCAUGCAGCUCUGUAUAUUGCAGUUAACCUAGAAAUCUUAGGAAAGCUCUGUAUUUACACAUUGCAUUAUCAAGAUGGAUACUUUAACCAGAGUUCUGUAAACACAAAUAAUAAAAAUUAU
Long non-coding RNA from Lutra lutra (Eurasian river otter), 2520 nucleotides. RefSeq lists it as uncharacterized. NCBI's taxonomy places the organism in Eukaryota, Metazoa, Chordata, Mammalia, Carnivora, Mustelidae. The transcript has 3 exons. The record is from RefSeq and is a predicted model, not a curated record.